Molecule: long non-coding RNA, 261 nt
Filed under: Olea europaea (common olive)
Lineage: Eukaryota; Viridiplantae; Streptophyta; Magnoliopsida; Lamiales; Oleaceae
Description: long non-coding RNA (OEUR_LNC013477)
Source: RNAcentral
UAUCUUGUAACAAGCCUAUUACUUGUAUCUUUUACAUCCUUGUAAUGAACGUUUGGUAAUAAAGAACUUUAUUUGAACGUAUUUCGCUCUGUCUUUAUUAUUUUUGAUCGUCCAGAAUGUUCGGUUAUGUUUUUAUCUGUUCGCAUUCCCAUAAAGAAGAAACAUAUUUUUUUCAAAUAUUUGCCAUUAAUGAAUCUUACGUGCUUGGUGCCGUCUAAAUCUUCUAAAUGAUAUGCUCCAUUAGGCAAUACACUGUUUAUU